UACGGAGGCCCCAAGCGUUGUUCGGAUUUAUUGGGCGUAAAGGGUGCGUAGGCGGCAUCUUAAGUCUGGUGUGAAAGGCGCGGGCUCAACCGUGCGGACUGCAUUGGAUACUGGGAUGCUAGAGGACUGGAGAGGAGAAUGAAUCACGGUGGAGCAGAUGAAUGCGUAGAUAUCGUGAGGAAGGCCAGUGGCGAAGGCGAUUCUCUGGACAGUACCUGACGCUGAGGCACGAAGGCUGGGGGAGCGAACAGG
This 252-nucleotide ribosomal RNA is filed under the name uncultured bacterium. RNAcentral's name for it is "partial 16S ribosomal RNA". It matches the Rfam family "Bacterial small subunit ribosomal RNA", at positions 524 to 776 of the family's 1533-position model. The record is from RNAcentral.